AUUGAACGCUGGCGGCAUGCCUUACACAUGCAAGUCGAACGGUAGAGUAGCAAUACUCGAGAGUGGCGAACGGGUGAGUAACAUAUCGGAACGUGCCCAAUCGUGGGGGGAUAACGUAGAGAAAUUUACGCUAAUACCGCAUACGAUCUAAGGAUGAAAGCGGGGGAUCGCAAGACCUCGCGCGAUUGGAGCGGCUGAUAUCAGAUUAGGUUGUUGGUGAGGUAAAAGCUCACCAAGCCGACGAUCUGUAGCUGGUUUGAGAGAACGACCAGCCACACUGGGACUGAGACACGGCCCAGACUCCUACGGGAGGCAGCAGUGGGGAAUUUUGGACAAUGGGCGAAAGCCUGAUCCAGCAAUGCCGCGU
This 367-nucleotide ribosomal RNA is filed under the name uncultured bacterium. Its description in RNAcentral is "bacterial SSU rRNA". It matches the Rfam family "Bacterial small subunit ribosomal RNA", at positions 30 to 402 of the family's 1533-position model. The record is from RNAcentral.